RNAcentral lists this ribosomal RNA (458 nucleotides) under uncultured bacterium. RNAcentral's name for it is "bacterial SSU rRNA". It matches the Rfam family "Bacterial small subunit ribosomal RNA", at positions 29 to 506 of the family's 1533-position model. The record is from RNAcentral.
AUGAACGUUGGCGGUGUGCCUAAUACAUGCAAGUCGAACGAAGAUGAUAGCAAUAUUGUCUUAGUGGCGAACGGGUGAGUAACGCGUUGGUGACCUGCCCCGAAGUGUGGAAUAACAAUUCGAAAGAAUUGCUAAUACCGCAUGUGAUCUUGGAGAUUAGAACCUCUUUGAUUAAAGGAUUUAUUCGCUUCGGGAGGGGCCUGCGUCCCAUCAGCUAGUUGGUAGGGUAAUGGCCUACCAAGGCUUUGACGGGUAGGGGACCUGAGAGGGUGGCCCCCCACAAUGGAACUGAAACACGGUCCAUACACCUACGGGUGGCAGCAGUAGGGAAUAUUGGUAAUGUGCGAAAGCGCGAACCAGCAACGCCGCGUGCACGAUGAAGGCCUUCGGGUCGUAAAGUGCUUUUAGAGAGGAUGAGGAAGGACAGUACUCUCUGAAUAAGCCUCGGCUAACUACGU